CCCUUAGAUGUUCUGGGCCGCACGCGCGCUACACUGAUGCAUUCAACGAGCACCCGCUGGGCCGAGAGGUCCGGCUAAUCUUUGAACGUGCAUCGUGCUGGGGAUAGAUGAUUGCAAUUAUUCAUCUUCAACGAGGAAUUCCUAGUAAACGCAAGUCAUCAGCUUGCAUUGAUUACGUCCCUGCCCUUUGUACACACCGCCCGUCGCACCUACCGAUUGAAUGGUCCGGUGAAAUCUUCGGAUCUGAGAGAUGUCUGAUUAAUUUCGGACGCCUUUUGGAAAAGUUGCUUAAACCUUACCAUUUAGAGGAAGGUGAAGUCGUAACA
RNAcentral lists this ribosomal RNA (326 nucleotides) under uncultured eukaryote. RNAcentral's name for it is "partial 18S ribosomal RNA". It matches the Rfam family "Eukaryotic small subunit ribosomal RNA", at positions 1470 to 1796 of the family's 1831-position model. The record is from RNAcentral.